UAAUAGUUAGUUUAAAGGAACAAUACAAUUUGACUGUAGAGGAAGCAGUGUGAUUCUGUUACUAUUAA
RNAcentral lists this transfer RNA (68 nucleotides) under Octomeris sp. BKKC-2014. RNAcentral's name for it is "tRNA-Gln". Lineage: Eukaryota; Metazoa; Arthropoda; Thecostraca; Balanomorpha; Chthamalidae. The record is from RNAcentral.